RNAcentral lists this long non-coding RNA (856 nucleotides) under Chloebia gouldiae (Gouldian finch). Its description in RNAcentral is "Erythrura gouldiae (Gouldian finch) lncRNA (ENSEGOG00005004516.1)". Lineage: Eukaryota; Metazoa; Chordata; Aves; Passeriformes; Passeridae. The record is from RNAcentral.
GGAAAGGAGGCUCAGGGACCUUCCCGCUCUCCACAGCUCCCGGAGAGGGGCUGCGGCCGGGCGGCGGCGGCUCUCUUCUCCGAGAUAACCAUCAACAAUACGGGGAAAUGGAGUCAAGAUGCACCAGGGGAGGUUUAACUUUGGAUACUUGGAAAAAUUUCUUCACUGUCUGGCUGCCCAGGGCAGUGUUUGGGUCACCACCGCUGAAGGUCUUUAAAAGACACGUGGAUGCGGCACUUGGGGACACGGUUUAGUGACGGACAUGGCUGUGCUGGAUGAACGACUGGACUCGGUGGUCUCACAGGUCCUUUGCCAGGCCUGAAGACCCCGUGAUUCCAUGGAAUGCCCCGCUCCCUGGAAAUUCGUUCUGUGGGCGCCGAAAAUACGGCGAAGAGCAACGGCGACAUCCAGCGGCGGCACGGGGCGCCUCGCAGGCCGGGCCCGCCGCGGGAGCGCCGCGCCGAGCGGCCAUCCAGGGAGUUCUCUAAAGGAUCAUGAAGGCGGGACAAAACAGCCAGGAUCAAGUGACAACUCAAGGACUGGUGUCAAAGCCCCAGGUGACAAGUUCUGCUGUGACACCUGCCAGAGGCUUUCAGUGUUCACACAUUUCUACAUUCACCUGAGAAGGAGGAUCAUGACUUCUCUCAUGGCACUUCUACUGGAGCCAAUGUUGCAAAGUUGCUUGUAUUUUCUCACAAAAGCCAGCUUCCAUCAGGAACAGAAUUAACCAGAACUAUUACAUGACAAAGGACAAGCUGUGGUGUUUCAGCCUGACAGGCAUGAUUGAAAACAAUCUUUACAAGAAAUCCUAAAUGAAGAAAAUAAUAAAAUUACCACUGGGCAAGUCUCUCCUGCA